Molecule: transfer RNA, 70 nt
Filed under: Camelus bactrianus (Bactrian camel)
Lineage: Eukaryota; Metazoa; Chordata; Mammalia; Artiodactyla; Camelidae
Also listed under: 1 other name
Rfam family: tRNA
About the family: Transfer RNA (tRNA) molecules are approximately 80 nucleotides in length. Their secondary structure includes four short double-helical elements and three loops (D, anti-codon, and T loops).
Source: Rfam by way of RNAcentral
CUGGGUAUAGCUUAGUGGUAGAGUGUGCUUAGCAUGCACAAGGUCCUGGGUUCAAUCCUCAGUUCCUAAA